Molecule: long non-coding RNA, 637 nt
Organism: Symsagittifera roscoffensis
Lineage: Eukaryota; Metazoa; Xenacoelomorpha; Acoela; Convolutidae
Exons: 4
Source: RefSeq, a predicted model, not a curated record
GGAAGUUGUUAUUUGAUUGUUCACAAAAGUUUUAUCAACUACUUGCAGAAAACAGCAUUUUCAUCAUAUCUCUGUUGCUGCGAUAAUCGAAGAAAGUUAAGGCAUAAUUUAACUGGAUAGCCCAGCCUCCAUCAAAAGAAGCAAAGGACACUCUUUCAAACAACUUGAGCUGAUUCGUAAAGAAGACAAAAAGAUCACGAAUCUUCUUCAAAUGCCAGUGGUUCCUAUUUUGCUUCUUCUUCUUGUUCCCACAUAUUUCGUGAUGAGCAUGGUAAGUAUCCCGGACGCCGAGACAGACAUCUCAAAGUGGGCCAAUCUGAACUCCAAAGAGGAGCAUGCAAUACUUCUCAAUCCAAAAGCUCUACAAUUCAAACGACACCAUAAACAAAGCAAUUCCAGAUGUCUUGAUAACGAGGACAUAGAGGAGGGGGACGGUGGCAAUGAGGACGACACCAAAAGAAGGAGUUGCGGGACCCGGCACUCCCACUGUUCCAGUUCAUUGCCAUGCUGUGGGUCACUGCAGUGCAAAUAUGUUAUCCCUUUCUCAACUUCCAAACUCUGCACCACAUCCCCAUAAAACCAAAAAAAAACUAUAGCAAUCACUUUCGAUUUUAUCACAUAUCCUAAUCAAUAAAUA